This 371-nucleotide ribosomal RNA is filed under the name uncultured bacterium. RNAcentral's name for it is "bacterial SSU rRNA". It matches the Rfam family "Bacterial small subunit ribosomal RNA", at positions 527 to 896 of the family's 1533-position model. The record is from RNAcentral.
AGAGGGGGCAAGCGUUAUUCGGAAUUAUUGGGCGUAAAGGGCGCGUAGGCGGCCAUUCAAGUGACGGGUGAAAGCCCUCGGCUUAACCGAGGAACUGCCUGUCAGACUGGAUGGCUUGAGACCGGGAGAGGUGAGUGGAAUUCCCAGUGUAGCGGUGAAAUGCGUAGAUAUUGGGAGGAACACCAGUGGCGAAGGCGGCUCACUGGACCGGAACUGACGCUGAGGCGCGAAAGCGUGGGGAGCAAACAGGAUUAGAUACCCUGGUAGUCCACGCCGUAAACGAUGAGUGCUUGGUGUAGCGGGUAUCGACCCCUGCUGUGCCGAAGUCAACACAUUAAGCACUCCGCCUGGGGAGUACGGUCGCAAGACUG